RNAcentral lists this ribosomal RNA (625 nucleotides) under uncultured soil bacterium. RNAcentral's name for it is "bacterial SSU rRNA". It matches the Rfam family "Bacterial small subunit ribosomal RNA", at positions 741 to 1397 of the family's 1533-position model. The record is from RNAcentral.
UGACGCUCAGAGGCGACAGCUAGGGGAGCGAACGGGAUUAGAUACCCCGGUAGUCCUAGCCGUAAACGAUGACCACGAGAUGUCCGGGGGAUCGACCCCCUGGGUGUCGAAGCAAACGCAGUCAGUGGUCCGCCUGGGGAGUACGGUCGCAAGAUUAAAACUCAAAGGAAUUGACGGGGACCCGCACAAGCAGCGGAGCGUGUGGUUUAAUUCGAUGCAACGCGAAGCACCUUACCAGGGUUUGACAUGCUCUUGCACCGCUUGGAGACAAGCGUCCUCUUCGGAGGCGGGAGCACAGGUGCUGCAUGGCUGUCGUCAGCUCGUGCCGUGAGGUGUUGGGUUAAGUCCCGCAACGAGCGCAACCCUCAUUGCUAGUUGAACAUCUCUAGCGAGACUGCCACGAUCAACGUGGAGGAAGGUGGGGAUGACGUCAAGUCAGCACGGCCCUUACAUCCUGGGCGACACACACGCUACAAUGGUCGAGACAACGAGUUGCCAACCCGCGAGGGGGAGCUAAUCUCAACAAACUCGAUCUCAGUUCAGAUUGCAGGCUGCAACCCGCCUGCAUGAUGGUGGAGUUGCUAAAUCAGUGAAUACGUUCCCGGGCCUUGUACACACCGCCCGU